Molecule: ribosomal RNA, 504 nt
Filed under: uncultured Chloroflexota bacterium
Lineage: Bacteria; Bacillati; Chloroflexota
Description: bacterial SSU rRNA
Rfam family: Bacterial small subunit ribosomal RNA
Source: RNAcentral
UGAGGAAUAUUGCACAAUGGGCGAAAGCCUGAUGCAGCAACGCCGCGUGCGGGACGAAGGCCUUCGGGUUGUAAACCGCUUUUCUGAGGGACGAGCAAGGACGGUACCUCAGGAAUAAGUCUCGGCUAACUACGUGCCAGCAGCCGCGGUAAAACGUAGGAGGCGAGCGUUAUCCGGAUUUACUGGGCGUAAAGCGCACGCAGGUGGCUUAGCAAGUCGGACAUGAAAGCUCCUGGCUUAACUGGGAGAGGUGGUUCGAAACUGCUGAGCUUGAGGUUGGGAGAGGGACGUGGAAUUCCCGGUGUAGUGGUGGAAUGCGUAGAUAUCGGGAGGAACACCAGUGGCGCAAGCGGCGUCCUGGCCCACACCUGACGCUGAGGUGCGAAAGCGUGGGGAGUAAACAGGAUUAGAUACCCUGGUAAUCCACGCUGUAAACGAUGUCAACUAGGUGUCGGUGGUGUUACACUAUCGGUGCCGAAGCUAACGCGUUAAGUUGACCGUCCG